Oreochromis niloticus (Nile tilapia) is the source of this 823-nucleotide long non-coding RNA. RefSeq lists it as uncharacterized. NCBI's taxonomy places the organism in Eukaryota, Metazoa, Chordata, Actinopteri, Cichliformes, Cichlidae. The transcript has 2 exons. The record is from RefSeq and is a predicted model, not a curated record.
UCCAGAUGAGCAGAAUCAACUUUUGGAGAUUUAUUUUCCUGGAUGAUUGAGAAUGCAUCAAGACCCUCUAACGGAAUCUUAGUUAAAGUCAUUUUAAAGAGAUUUCCACUGACAGCACAAAUAUAUGUGCGUGUAUGAAGUAUUAGAUUUUAAUUUUCUUCUACUACUGUAACUAUGGCUGUAACAGUUUUUGACAAGAGAGUGCAUUGUUUAGGUAACCUUGUCUGUUAUUUACAGUAUUCCUGUAUAUAGAUAGAUAGAACAGUGUAUAUAUGUAUAAACACUGAUCUUUUUUUUUCUUUUGCACCACCUUGGGUAAAGUGAAGUGGAUGUCCUGCAUCACACAGCACAUGAAGUCAGAGACACACUUCUCAGUUUUGCUGCUAAUAUGAACACUGUCAUCCCAGUCAACAAUAAGGAAGGUGCUCCUCCAUGAUUGGUACAUCCAGGGCGGAUGGAUCGUACCGACUGGCUCAUGACCGGGAGGCAGCGCAUAAGAAGACACCGCCAGGGACUGCCAGGUCAUUCAUCCUCCGCCCAACCCAGCCGGCAGACCGUUCACUGUGUCACUAUGUUUGUGGAAUGUAAGAGCAUGUAGGGGUGGACCGCCUUUUUGUUUGAUUAGUUUUCUCCUGUUUUUGCUAGUCAGGGAGGAAAGUGCCUGUCAUUUGGUUUGGUUCUUUUGAGUAGGUAAGUUGUACUUAUUCCUGAGUUAGGCUACCUUUUGUUUGUUGUUUUGGCCUUGGGUUCACCCUGAAGUUAUAAUUUGCUCCCUUCCUUUGUUUAAAUGCACUUAUUGUAAAUAAAUCACUGUCACAAAGUA